CGCAGCUUCAGCCGAAACAAUCGCCUACAUUCCCCUGCUCUCUGGUGACCGAAGCACUCGCCAUACAGUCACGUCUAAAGCUAGCUGGGAAGGCAACGACGGUAUCGUGGCGUACGAAGACGUCCGAAACUCUCAUAUUUCUCCUCCUUCCGCUCCGCUUCUACCCGAAACGAUCGAGGAAGCUUUAAAUCAAGCCCUGGCCGUCGGAGCUCCUCUUAUUGCAGUCAGACUUCCUGCCAAGUGGCUGAACACUUCCCUGCAGCCUCACCCUGCUACAGGUUUCCUGGAUUCUACCUACAGGCUUCCCUGAUCUCUCCUUGCUACGGGUUGAAGGCUGAGCAGGCUCUUCCUUACAGGCGUUAAUCCCUGCAGGUUUCCGACGUUUCCUCCUUACGACUUCCCGGCAUCCCAGACAUCCUCUAUAUGUUAUCUUUCAAGCAGAGCAAUCCAACUUGCAUCUGUCCGUAGGAAACUCCAGCCCUAAACAGAGCAGUCUCCUUUCCUGGCUGUUCUUCUCUGCAGGCUUUCUUGCAGGUCUUCCCUCCUGCGGUCAGACCUUCUUCACAUCUCCUCUAGCAGCCGGAACUAGCAGCAUAAAUUUUCUCCAACAGCAGUCCAACAUUGGAAUCCUCCCUGCAGCCCCUAACCAGGCUGCAACAUGGACAUUCCUUGCCGCAAGCCCCUCAUUCUUUGGCCGAAUCUUCCUUCAGCAACGAUAACUGCCAGAAAUGGCAACAGCAACAACCAGCAAUGGCAGGAGCAACAUCAGAAAUAAUAGCAUUCAACUAGGAGAUGCUCUAAACACUCUUGGAGAUGAUGACAACACUGGAUGAGGAUGUUAAAUUUUACUCCGUAGGUGAAUUUUAAGUUAAAGACUAGGGAUGCUGUCCACAUGACUCCCGAACUCUCUAACUUUAUUACAAUUCAUAAAUUAAAUGGUCAUAACUAUCUUUCAUGGCCAAAUCCGUGUUUAUGCACAUUUGCAGUAAAGUGAAAGAGGAACAUGCACUGUUUUUGAGAUCAUUGACCCCAACUAUCGCACAUAGAAAAAUCAAGAUCAUAUGGUUAUGCCUUGGUUAGUCAACUCAAUGACUGCUUAAAUGGGAGAGAAUUUUCUGCUUUACAAAACUACUAAAGAAAUUUGGGAGGCUGCAAGAGAAAUAUAUUCCAACACUGAGAACACGACAUAGUUGUUUGAGAUCGAAAUCAAGCUCAUGACAUCCAACAAAGAGGGCUGAACGUCACCUCACCCAAUAUUUCAACAGUCUCAAAGUAUUAGCUACAAUUGGAGAUAUUCGAGACACAUGUGUGAAAUUAUUCACAAGCUACCAUGAUAUUUAAAUCCAUCAUUGAGAAAAAGAGGAGAAUCAAAUUCCUUGUAAGACUGUCUCAGGAAUUGAAUGAGGUGAGAGAGAGGGUCAUGGGAACAAAACCUCUUCCACCUCAAUGUGAAGCCUUUGCUGAAGUUACGAGAGAAGAGAUUAGAAAGAAGCUGAUGCCGACCAUAAAUGCAUUUACCAAGCAUUAAAAGUUCAUCUCUUUACACCCAUAAUCCUUCUCAUGAUUCAAAGGUAAAGAAGAAUUGUCCCACAUGUGAUUAUUGUAAGAAGACCGGCUAUAUCAAAACAAAUAUUAUAAACUCCGUGGAAAGCUUAUUGAUUGAAAACCUGGGUAGGGAAGGAAGGAUAAGAGAAAAAGGCUAAUGCUGCUACAAAAUCCAAAGGAUUGAAGGAAUCAUUCACCAAGAAACGAUUUGAAGUACUGAAGAAAGAACUUGAAGGUACUUCAGAGUAAGACACCAACCUCAUGACACGCGAGGUCAUAAAUUCUUCUUCCAUCUUGCCAGUAAUGUGAGAUUUAA
Long non-coding RNA from Phalaenopsis equestris, 1861 nucleotides. RefSeq lists it as uncharacterized. The transcript has 3 exons. Lineage: Eukaryota; Viridiplantae; Streptophyta; Magnoliopsida; Asparagales; Orchidaceae. The record is from RefSeq and is a predicted model, not a curated record.